Long non-coding RNA from Anolis carolinensis (green anole), 1094 nucleotides. RefSeq lists it as uncharacterized. The transcript has 3 exons. The record is from RefSeq and is a predicted model, not a curated record. NCBI's taxonomy places the organism in Eukaryota, Metazoa, Chordata, Lepidosauria, Squamata, Anolidae.
GGUCUUUAUAUCCCAUAGGACACAAUCUGUGUUGCUUCCAAAAAGUGAAAUUAGCUAAAGUACUGGGCACUAUGUUUAGUAUUUUGGUGUUAGAAGUCUGUUCCUGGGAGCAUCCUUUAACCCUUACAUGUCCAAGCUAGUGCCACCACGACCAAAGUCUCAGGGGCAAUUGUCCUAAUGUCUCAUCUUCCCCUUCACUCAUAUUCUGCUAGAACAGGGGGCUAAAAUGAGAAGUAAAUGCUAUUACUCCUUGGGGAGAGUAGCAGGAGAGAUAUCUACAGCCACCCUUUCCUUGGAGUAUUUCUUUCUUGACAAUGCCACAGAACAAGAAGCUUAUAUCUGUGGAGCAGCAGGAACAGGAACAUGGGACUGUUCGCAACUUUAUUUAUUUCAUGCCAAAAGCAUUGCAUAAAAUAAGUUUAAAACUGAACAAAUGAAGGAAUCACAAGCAGCUAAAUAGUUUUAGACCAAAACAAACAGCGACUGCACAGUCUGUAGCUUUAAACAGUUCUUCCUCUCUGCAUGAGGCAGGGCAUUGUGGACAAGCAGACAGAUGCUGAGUUUGUUCUGCUCCACAGUUGCAACGGAGGAUGCUGGUUUAGGGAUUUGUACAAUACCUUGUAUCUAUAAGGAUUUGUAGAAAAAGGAAUUGCCACAGGUGUUGUGCCUCAUGCAACCAGGAAUGGUGCUGAUGACAAGUACAAAUCUCAAUGUAAAAACUUAAGUAGAAAUAUAAGAAGAUUCCUACUGGAAUAGACCACAGGCUUGACUAACCAAGACUCUUCAUUCCUCUGUGAUAAUUGAAAGGAACAUGGGAAGCUCACAAGAAGGACAUGUAUGAAGUGGCACACAUGUGCAUCCUGGCGACUUAAAUUGAAAGAUACAUUCAAAGGAUCUUCUAAACUUUUGAGAUCCUGAACAAAUGGAAGAAUGUCCCCAACUGAGAAACUUUAGGAAUGCCAUAGAAAGAAGGUGGUGUGAGUGCAACCGAGUGCCAAGUGCUUAAGUCCUGGUUUUGCUUCUGUAGCAGAAAUGGGUCUGUGGCACAGAAGUCAGGAACCCAGAAGUUCUCUGUGUCACAGCAGGGGAACCUG